Molecule: ribosomal RNA, 2280 nt
Filed under: human metagenome
Description: bacterial LSU rRNA
Rfam family: Bacterial large subunit ribosomal RNA
Source: RNAcentral
GUCAAGUACAAAGAGCAUCGGGUGGAUGCCUUGGCACUGGGAGCCGAAGAAGGACGUGAUAAGCUGCGAUAAGCUGCGGUAAGGAGCACAUAUCCGAUAUACCCGCAGAUUUCCGAAUGGGGGAACCCACAUACGGUAAUGCGUAUGUAUCAUUAAGUGAAUACAUAGCUUAAUGAAGGGAACGGGGUGAACUGAAACAUCUAAGUAGCCCUAGGAAGAGAAAGAAAAAUCGAUUUCCUGAGUAGCGGCGAGCGAAAGGGAAAGAGGCCAAACCAAAUUGUUUACAGUUUGGGGUUGUGGACCACCGACAUUGACGAAGUUAUGCGAGCCGAAUAGGGUUGGAAAGCUCAAGCAGAGAAGGUAAUACUCCUGUAGGCGAAGCAGAAAGCGCAUAGGUGGCACCAGAGUAGGACCGGACACGUGUAACCCGGUCUGAAGCAGGAGGGACCACCCUCCAAGCCUAAAUACUACCCAGUGACCGAUAGCGAAUAGUACCGUGAGGGAAAGGUGAAAAGAACCCCGGGAGGGGAGUGAAAUAGAAUCUGAAACCUGAUGCUUACAAGCAUAGGGAGCGCAAGUGACCUAGUACUUUUUGUAGAACGGGCCAACGAGUUAUGGUAUGUAGCGAGGUUAAGUUGCUGGAGCAACGGAGCCGUAGAGAAAUCGAGUCUGAAUAGGGCGAGAGUUACAUGCUGUAGACCCGAAACCGGGUGACCUAUCCAUGAGCAGGUUGAAGUAACCGUAAAAGGUUAUGGAGGACCGAACCUAUAUCUGUUGAAAAAGGUUAGGAUGACUUGUGGAUAGCGGUGAAAUUCCAAUCGAACUCGGAUAUAGCUGGUUCUCCUCGAAAUAGCUUUAGGGCUAGCCUCAAGGUAAAGAUACACGGGGGUAGAGCACUGACUGUUCGCGGGGCCUUCACCGGUUACCAACAACUAUCAAACUCCGAAUACCGUGCUAUCAUACUUGGGAGUCAGACUAUGAGAGAUAAGUUCCAUGGUCGAAAGGGAAACAGCCCAGAUCAACAGCUAAGGUCCCAAAGAGUAAGUUAAGUGGAAAAGGAUGUGGGAUUGCACAAACAGCUAGGAUGUUGGCUUAGAAGCAGCCAUACAUUUAAAGAGUGCGUAAUAGCUCACUAGUCGAGUGAUCCUGCGCCGAAGAUAAACGGGGCUCAAACUUACCACCGAAGCUUUGGAAUUAGUAUAACUAAUUGGUAGAGGAGCAUUCUAUACAGGUAGAAGGAGGCGCGUAAGCAAAUCUGGACGGUAUAGAAGAGAGAAUGUUGGCAUGAGUAGCGUAAGGCGGGUGAGAAUCCCGUCCGCCGAAAAUCUAAGGUUUCCUGAGGAAGGUUCGUCCUCUCAGGGUAAGUCGGGACCUAAGCCGAGAGCGAACGCUGUAGGCGAUGGACAACAGGUUGAUAUUCCUGUACCACCAAGGAUUGUUUGAAUGAAGUGGGGACACAGAAGGAUAGAUUGAGCACGCCGUUGGUUGAGCGUGUCCAAGCAGUAAGGCUUGAAAGUAGGCAAAUCCGCUUUCUACAAGGCUGAGCUGUGAUGGGGUGGUCGAAUGACCGGUAGCAAUCGAUUUCACGCUGUCAAGAAAAGCCGCUAAUGAGAUCCAAGGUGCCCGUACCGCAAACCGACACAGGUAGAUGAGGAGAGAAUCCUAAGGUGAGCGAGAGAACUAUUGUUAAGGAACUCGGCAAAAUAACCCCGUAACUUCGGGAGAAGGGGUGCCUGCUUCGGCAGGCCGCAGUGAAGAGGUCCAGGCAACUGUUUACCAAAAACACAGGUCUCUGCUAAAGCGAAAGCUGAUGUAUAGGGGCUGACGCCUGCCCGGUGCUGGAAGGUUAAGGGGAAGUGUUAGGGCAACCGAAGCACAGAACUUAAGCCCCAGUAAACGGCGGCCGUAACUAUAACGGUCCUAAGGUAGCGAAAUUCCUUGUCGGGUAAGUUCCGACCCGCACGAAAGGCGUAAUGAUCUGGGCACUGUCUCAACAAUAGACUCGGUGAAAUUGUAGUACCGGUAAAGAUGCCGGUUACCCGCAGCAGGACGGAAAGACCCCGUGGAGCUUCACUGUAGCUUGAUAUUGAUUUUCGGCAUUGCAUGUACAGGAUAGGUGGGAGACGUUGAGUUCAGCACGCCAGUGUUGGAGGAGUCACCGUUGGGAUACCACCCUUGUAAUGUUGGAAAUCUAACCUAGUACCGUGAUCCGGUACAGGGACAGUGUCAGGUGGGCAGUUUGACUGGGGCGGUCGCCUCCUAAAGAGUAAAGAUCGGAAG